AGCGCAGGCGGUCAGGUAAGUCUGAAGUGAAAACCCGAGGCUCAACCCCGGGCCUGCUUUGGAUACUGCCAGACUUGAGUACGUGAGAGGAGAGCGGAAUUCCAGGUGUAGCGGUGAAAUGCGUAGAUAUCUGGAGGAACACCGGUGGCGAAAGCGGCUCUCUGGCACGAUACUGACGCUCAGGCUCGAAAGCGUGGGGAGCGAACAGGAUUAGAUACCCUGGUAGUCC
RNAcentral lists this ribosomal RNA (229 nucleotides) under uncultured bacterium. RNAcentral's name for it is "partial 16S ribosomal RNA". It matches the Rfam family "Bacterial small subunit ribosomal RNA", at positions 568 to 796 of the family's 1533-position model. The record is from RNAcentral.